Molecule: long non-coding RNA, 566 nt
Organism: Diabrotica virgifera virgifera (western corn rootworm)
Lineage: Eukaryota; Metazoa; Arthropoda; Insecta; Coleoptera; Chrysomelidae
Exons: 2
Source: RefSeq, a predicted model, not a curated record
UUCAACUUCAACUAACUACUAACUAAACUACAAACUACAAACUACCUUCUAGGCGUAGUUGCGUGCCUUGUAUAAUGUAGAUUUUUUGUCAUUUCUAGAAUUUCUACCAUAGAUAAAUAAUUCUACUUUUUGUCAUUUUUUUUUGGUUUUUGUUAUGGUAGGAUGAUGAUGCCACCAAGCACCCUGCACCAAGCCAAGCGUUUGUGUGAAGCUGUAAUCCUGUAAUGGCUUCUGCCGAGUUAAGAUUUUGUGAAUGUUAAGAACAGAAGCAGUGCCGUAACAAUGUCUGGAUACAUAUAAAUGGAUUUUUGGUUAUUAAGGAGAGCUUACAAACACCUCAUGGGAGUUUGAUUUUCAGCCUGCCACAAAAGCUUUUCUGCCGAAGAUGCAACUUUAAGUUUGGUCUUUUUAUCGGAUUGACACUGAUGAAUAUACAGUAGAUGAUAGGAUUAAAAAGCAGAAAUAGCCUCACGUGUUAAGAAAAAACGAGACAUUGGCGAAUAGUACUCAAAAUCCUAAUCUAAUGUAUAAAAGUAUUGUUAAUAUUAAAUGUUGUUUAUGUUGUU